Molecule: ribosomal RNA, 502 nt
Filed under: uncultured Glomeromycotina
Lineage: Eukaryota; Fungi; Glomeromycota
Description: partial small subunit ribosomal RNA
Rfam family: Eukaryotic small subunit ribosomal RNA
Source: RNAcentral
CCAAUAGCGUAUAUUAAAGUUGUUGCAGUUAAAAAGCUCGUAGUUGAACUUCGGAAUUUGCCCAUUGGUCAGGCUUAACUGUCUGAACUGGUGUGACGAGUUCCUACCUUCUGAGGAAUCUUCAUGCCAUUCAGUUGGUGUGGGGGGAAAUCAGGACUGUUACUUUGAAAAAAUUAGAGUGUUUAAAGCAGGCAUCCGUCUGAAUACAUUAGCAUGGAAUAAUAAAAUAGGACGGUUUGGUUCUAUUUUGUUGGUUUCUAGGAUCACCGUAAUGAUUAAUAGGGAUAGUUGGGGGCAUUAGUAUUCAAUUGUCAGAGGUGAAAUUCUUGGAUUUAUUGAAGACUAACUACUGCGAAAGCAUUUGCCAAGGAUGUGUUCAUUAAUCAAGAACGAAAGUUAGGGGAUCGAAGACGAUCAGAUACCGUCGUAGUCUUAACCAUAAACUAUGCCGACUAGGGAUCGGACGAAGUUAAUUUUUAAAUGACUCGUUCGGCACCUUACG